GGCACCUUCGGUGUCCGAGUUGUAAUCUCUAGAAGUGUUUUCCGCGUUGGACCGCACACAAGUCUGUUGGAAUACAGCGGCAUAGUGGUGAAACCCCCGUAUAUGGUGCGGACGCCCAGCGCUUUGUGAUACACUUUCAAUGAGUCGAGUUGUUUGGGAAUGCAGCUCAAAUUGGGUGGUAAAUUCCAUCUAAAGCUAAAUAUUGGCGAGAGACCGAUAGCGAACAAGUACCGUGAGGGAAAGAUGAAAAGCACUUUGGAAAGAGAGUUAACAGUACGUGAAAUUGUUGGAAGGGAAACGCUUGAAGUCAGACUUGCUUGCCGGAGCUUGCUUCGGUUUGCAGGCCAGCAUCAGUUUUCCGGGGUGGAUAAUGACGGUUUGAAGGUAGCAGUCUCGGCUGUGUUAUAGCUUUCCGUUGGAUACAUCCUGGGGGACUGAGGAACGCAGCGUGCUUUUUGCGAAAGACUCGUCUUUUUCACGCUUAGGAUGCUGGUGGAAUGGCUUUAAACG
RNAcentral lists this ribosomal RNA (510 nucleotides) under Rhodotorula graminis. Its description in RNAcentral is "partial large subunit ribosomal RNA". It matches the Rfam family "Eukaryotic large subunit ribosomal RNA", at positions 124 to 646 of the family's 3401-position model. The record is from RNAcentral. Lineage: Eukaryota; Fungi; Basidiomycota; Microbotryomycetes; Sporidiobolales; Sporidiobolaceae.